This is a long non-coding RNA of Acinonyx jubatus (cheetah), 2638 nucleotides long. RefSeq lists it as uncharacterized. NCBI's taxonomy places the organism in Eukaryota, Metazoa, Chordata, Mammalia, Carnivora, Felidae. The transcript is spliced from 2 exons. The record is from RefSeq and is a predicted model, not a curated record.
GACCGCCAGGGCCUCUCCUGCUGGGCCUGACUUUGAAGUCCUUGCUACUGAGCAGCAGGUAAUAUCUCAGGACUUUGUCACAAAGCUUUUUUCACAAUUGUCAACAUGGCCUUCAGACUGACCAACGCAGCCAUCUAUUGCAUGGCCUUGAACCCAGUCAGGCCUCUCAGUGACUUUUCCAUGGCUCCAUCCCAACUCACCACUUAGAACUCCAGAAGCCACGAAGCAGGGUAAUCAUCUUUAUGAAAUUCAGAGAGAAUAAAGGCAAAGAGCCUGGGGCCAGGUGGAUUCAUGUUGGGCACAGCUGCUAGACAACUGAAGUGAAGAGACCACAGGGCCCAGGAAGGAGUGAGCAGCUACCAGCAAGUGCUGGGUUGAGUUGAGGAGAAACCAUAGUUCAAGUGAAAACCACCUUUCUGAUCCACUAUUCCACCGCGUGCUUCCCCUGGGCAUCACUGGGCCCCAGCACAGAGAGGAGAACUUCUGGUUCAGGUGUUUGUGUUCUCUGUACUCACAGUUCGCUCAGUCAACGUUUAUUGAACACUCGCUGUUUACGGAGUCUUGGGGAGGGAGGUAGAUUCAGUGAAGAGUACAAGAGUUUCAUCAGCGGUCUGACUAGAAGGCCAUUCUACAAUGGUGACUGCUCCUGCAACCCACCGGCCAUGCCCCCAGACUCUGCUCGCCUGGUGGCCUGUGAGCUAGACCCCGCUAAUCAGUGAAGGAGAUUCAGGCAAGAAGUUGACGCUACAAAGCACUCUUGGCCCUUGAAAGAAAGGCAUCCAGGGAGUCCCGGAGGCCAUUACUCCCUUGGAAGGGAAGAGUCAUGAGACACAGAGACAAGGCCUAGGGGAGAAGUGAGAAGGUCUGGAUCUCCAUCCAACUCUCGCUGCACUCUUCAGGUGGAGUGAGGGACUGACUGAAUUUGUCCCCUCCCCCGCAACGGUGUCACUCACCAUUGGAGCAGAAUCAGAGACAACUCCUGUGUGGAACCCUUUGUAGCACCAACUCCGAAGCAGAUCUACUCCUAGGACAAGAUUAGCAGGGGUGGGACUUAAGAGGGUGGAUUCAACUGGUCAAUUCUUGCCAGGGAGGCCCAUUUCUUGGUCUACUGAGAUUUAAUCACUCACUAAACAUGGCCUCCUGUGGGUAGGGAGGACACAUCACCUUUGAGCUUGUUGCCAUGGUACUUCUGUUCCCACUGGGUGGUGAGAAUGUUGAAAUAUCGUGGCUGCUCAAAAAAGCGGAGAUAGCGAGAGGAGAUUCGAGAAGGAAAAAUUCGUUCAAAUUGACCGCGGCGAGAAAACUCAUCUUCCAUCUCAACCAGAAUCCGAACAUCAUCUGGUGUCAGGACAUCCAGCACAGACGCAUAAAAGUCCUAAGGCCCAAAGAACAGAGAGGAAGAGGGCGUGACAGAGAGUGUGAGCUGGAGGCAGAGAAUCCAGAAGCUGGGGACAGUGAGCACAGUUCUGAGGUCCUAGGCUCCAGAACUCCCAAGGCAGCACCAAGGCCGACUAGUGGGUCAUCUCUGGAACUCGUCUAUUCCCAAGCCUACUGAGCUUUGCUGUCUGGGGAAGACGCCAUUGGUCCAGGUAGGGGAGCCUCUUUAAGAGGUUUGCUGGCUGGAGUCAGGAGCAGAAUCCAACAACUCUGAUUUGGUAGCAGCCUUUUGUCUGCUACUGUCAUAUCUGGCUCCCUCAUCUGAGGGAGCUGAGAAGAUAUCAACCCUCCUAGGGGCUCAACGCACCUCAAGGAAAGAAACACAAAGGAUCUAUGGCUCUGACAACAAGGGAUGGCUAGUAUAGCAUUUUGCUAAGAGCAGUGGUUCUUGACCAUGUGAUAGAGGCCAUCAACUCUCUCCUGGAACGACACAUACACCAGCAGAUCUCUGCACACCAAGGGAUCAUGGACCAGGAUUAGGAAACCCUGUCCUAGGGAAAGGGAAAACCAGUCGCCUUAGGGUCCCAAAUAUUUGACUGAGGAAACUUUCUGUUGGCACUCGGUGUGUGUGUGUGUGUGUGUGUGUGUGUGUGUGUGUGUGUGUGUGUAAUCUCCUACCUGAUCAGGAAUUUUCUGGGUCAGAUAAUAGGCUUUCUUCAUCUUCUGUGCAGUGAAAUGUUCUGGGGUCAUUCGACAUUUGUCCCUGGGGGAGCUGGGCAGGCUAAAGCAAUGGAUGGAAAAGAAGCAAACGGUAAGGUCAGCAGCUUCACAUCCUGAAGACAUGAGAAGAGAGGGUCCAUCCCAGGACCCUUAGCUUAACUGGAGAAGGAAGAUACUCUUGGUCAGGGUCAGGGGACUCACUAGGGCACCAAGGUUAAGUGGUUUGUUGGAUGGAGUCACACCCUUCUCAAGAGAAGACAAAGAAGUUUAGAGGAAUAUUUGUUACUUGAAUAGAUCACACCACAAUGCCCUGUCUGGGCGUCCAAAGAUCAAUUACUAUGGAAAAAUGAAAGAGUAUAAGGUACCUCAUUAGGUUGCAUUUCAGUAGUUAAAAAAAAAAAAAAAGAGGACCCCCCCCCCCCCCAAAUAAUUGUUGGAUACUUCAGUUUCAUUUGGUGGACACUUCCUAAGUACCCAGCUCAGCCCUACUGGCUGUGUUAUCCUGGGCAAAUCACAUGACCUCCCUGAACCACAGUUUCCU